GGUUACUGGUGCAGCUCCCUGGGUGUGUAUAUUCUGAGUAGUGAUAAAAUGACUCUUCACUGGCUUUUAACCAGAAUCCUGCAUGUGAUUCAAAGACUGAACAAAGCUAUGUGAGCCUCAUCGUCAUCAUGCAGUGGGAAUUCUUUCCGAAGCAGCAAAUGGGAUGUUCCUGAAGUCAGCUUUAAAUAUGGAAAUUUUUGUGCUGGAGCUACAAACUGCACAAAGUUCUGGGUUGGCUGUUAUAAGACGUGGAGAGAGGAGUGCACAGCUGUAAGCUGCACAUUAACUGCCCACUUUUUCCUUCUGCCUCCUCCCCCAUCCUGGACCAUGAGGGUUCUUCUAACACUUCUGCAGAAUUUCCAGAUGUCUGGCUGCCCUGCUGCAACUUCACUCCACUAACCGAGAGGGAAGAAGACAUUCAGAAAUCCCAAACAUUUCUGCAGCAUAAUCAUAAUAAAUCUGACAUAUCAUGAAA
Long non-coding RNA from Pyrgilauda ruficollis (rufous-necked snowfinch), 475 nucleotides. RefSeq lists it as uncharacterized. NCBI's taxonomy places the organism in Eukaryota, Metazoa, Chordata, Aves, Passeriformes, Passeridae. The transcript is spliced from 2 exons. The record is from RefSeq and is a predicted model, not a curated record.